This 465-nucleotide ribosomal RNA is filed under the name uncultured bacterium. Its description in RNAcentral is "partial 16S ribosomal RNA". It matches the Rfam family "Bacterial small subunit ribosomal RNA", at positions 338 to 795 of the family's 1533-position model. The record is from RNAcentral.
CCUACGGGCGGCAGCAGUGGGGAAUCUUGCGCAAUGGGCGAAAGCUUGACGCAGCGACGCCGCGUGAGGGAUGAAGGUCUUCGGAUCGUAAACCUCUGUCAGCAGGGAAGAACGGUCACUGUGCUAAUCAGCAGUUAAUUGACGGUACCUGCAAAGGAAGCACCGGCUAACUCCGUGCCAGCAGCCGCGGUAAUACGGAGGGUGCGAGCGUUAAUCGGAAUUACUGGGCGUAAAGCGCUCGUAGGCGGUAUGUCAAGUCAAGGGUGAAAUCCCCGCGCUCAACGUGGGAACUGCCUUUGAAACUGGCAAACUGGAGUGUGUGAGAGGAUAGUGGAAUUCCAGGUGUAGGAGUGGAAUCCGUAGAUAUCUGGAGGAACAUCAGUGGCGAAGGCGACUAUCUGGCACAUAACUGACGCUGAGGAGCGAAAGCGUGGGUAGCAAACAGGAUUAGAUACCCGGGUAGUC